RNA transcript from Stegostoma tigrinum, 2086 nucleotides. It is a transcript of the gene named membrane-spanning 4-domains subfamily A member 18-like, with no coding region annotated. Lineage: Eukaryota; Metazoa; Chordata; Chondrichthyes; Orectolobiformes; Stegostomatidae. The transcript is spliced from 8 exons. The record is from RefSeq and is a predicted model, not a curated record.
CGGUGGCGCGAGCGGUCGGCGGUUGGAGAGCCGGGGCUCGCGCUCCUCAGCUGUUUUUCGGGGCUGGCCCUGCGGCCGGUUGCCGCGCAUGCGCCACGCCCUCGGGCGGCGGUUUCGAACGCCGGAGCCGGGCGUCGGUUUGAACAGGAAAAGCCGCGUGCGGUCGCGGUUGUCGGCGCCGGGGAGCCUGAUGGGGCGGGCAAUGGGCGCAAGGAUCUCCUAAUUAUCUUUCAAAGAGACAAAUCCAUGUGCAGUUAAUUCUCCAGUAAAUUGCAAAUAACUAAAGUGAGACCUUCAGCAAAAAUGCCUGACAGGAGCCAGACUUCGUUUGCUCAAAAGUCUAAGCAAACAGCCUCAACUGUUUGGAUGCAACCCAGACUUGUGUCUCAGAGGCCCACUCAGCCAAAGCUUCACGACAUGCAUAAACAUCGCAUGUCAUGGAUCAGUGUGUCGCGUUACAAAAUGUCUCAUUUAAGCUUAAUGGAGCAAGUACAUACGGAGUUAAGAGAUUUGGGUGCCAUUGAAAUCAUGAUUGGAAUGAUUGAGAUGAUGUUUGGCAUUCCACUGAUUUUUGCAGAAAGCUAUUCAUUCCCUGCAAUUAUUGGAGUCCCCUGGUUUACAGGAUUUUGGUAUGUGGUGGCGGGAUCCUUGACAGUUCAUUUAGUAUAUUCCAGACGUCCCGUAGGCGUGCAGAGGUUUCCUUGGAAAGAAGAUCUGCAUAGCAUGGAGGAAAAUGUGAUAGAAGUCGCAACUGAACUAGAUGGGCAAUAUUCAUGAUCCACCUGAUCACUGCAAAUUUUGCAGUAGCAGGAUGUGUGAUAUUUAAUCUCUCACUCUUUUACUUGCCAACAACGCCAUUCAACUUUUUUAUGGCAGCACCAAUGAUCAAUGCAGCAUUCCUCAUGAUCUUCUCUGUGGUGGAGUUCAUCAUAUCUUGUUUAAUUUGUUAUCUUCAUAUCAAGCUCUUACGCUCCAGUCGAUGAGGGAGAGUUCUACAGAGCUAAGAGUUCGAAGAGCUGUACAACUGUCGUGCUUAAUGGAGAAAAGCAGACAGAAGGAACGUGAUGCAAAACUAAACACCAGUACAUUAAUGAUUUGGUCUGGCUCUGGACAACCGUGUAAAGUUUCUCUGGAAGAUCAUCAUACUGGCAAUAUAAUUACAGCAACCCUGAACCCCUUGCAUCAGAGUUAGUAGGAAUUAGUGGCAUGUUCGAGCAGAGAUUGUUAAAUGGACUGGAGAUACAGCCUGAGGACUGGCAGCACUCAGAAAGCAUAGCCAUUUGAAAACUCAUCUUUCAACCCCAGAAGGUAAAGAGAAUCAUGUCAAAUAAGAAAUGUUCCACUCCAUCACACCUUCAAUUCAGGUUCCCAUUUCUUGCCAUUGAAAGCUGUUCCCUGCUCGUUUUUAUUCAUAUCUAUCUUUGGAGCAAGUACUUUCCCUCUCUUCCCUCCCAGGUUUUCACUCUCCAUCUGAAGAGACAGAUCUAGCCCCAGAGGGUGGAAUCAUAAAAAUGAACCACGAGUUCCUUGUACCCAUGAGAACAUCAAACUGCUCCUCAUUUAGCACCAGUGUUGAUUUGUUCCAUUGGAGGAGAGUAAAUGUGGGAAUGGGAGUAAAAUUGAGAUGGUGCUUGGCUAAGGUUAAGUCAGUUAUGGGGAGCACCUUGAGCAUGGGAUCCUUGUUGCUGACACUGGGUAAUGAAAGGGGUGGAGAGUCCCAAGUAUCUCUGUACCAGCAUCUCUCAAUAAGGAGGCAGAAGGAUGGUCUUCACUGAAGGUUUAUGAUCCUAAGCAUCAGUGAUAAUGGUUCAUUUCACUUUAGGCUUCAUGUGGUCUGAACAUAUUGCUCCAAUAUGAGGAAUUAGAAUUUUUGGCUCCCAAAACUUGAAAGGUUCUGAGGAGAGGGGUGGUGCAAAUGGCAGAGAGAUAAUCAUUAGCCUAUGGACAUUUUAUGCUUGUACCACAGAUAAUCAUUUGUAAUUCUUGCAACAGGCUGGCAGGGCAGGGAUUUGUACAGCGGUAUUGACAAACAGAGAUAGCAAGGUGUGGAGCUGGAUAAACACAGCAGGCCAAGCAGCAUCAGAGG